This is a non-coding RNA of Xyrichtys novacula (pearly razorfish), 24927 nucleotides long. Lineage: Eukaryota; Metazoa; Chordata; Actinopteri; Labriformes; Labridae. The record is from the annotation of a GenBank genome assembly.
UGAAAAGCGAACACUGAAAGGACUCAAAACACUUCCAUAGAAUAUUCUCUUUACAGCCCUGAUUAGCAUCGCAAGAGUCCAGGUCUGCAACCACUUAACCUCGUUUCCCUGAGCUGUUUGACACCGUGUUUACUUUUUAUUUCCUAUUGCAGAGGUCGAUGCGGCGGAGAUAACGCCCGCUGGCGUGGCAGUGAGUCACACUGAGCCGGGGUCAGCUUGAAGCUGCAACAACAACAACAGCAGCAGAGGAAGGUGGGACGAAAAGGAAACUGGACUCUCGCCAUCAUGUGAGUGGCUGACAGCAUGAACAGGUUAAAUUAUUAGUUCCUGCAUUUGUUGAAAUUUUCCCCAGAGGUGAUUUGUUCUUACUGAAAUACACGUAAUAUCUUUAUUUCUUAGGGCCAAGAAUAAAUGAAACUAUUGUGAUAAAUAACUGAACUGUAGAUGAAGAAUAGAAAUCUCAGAUAAACCCUGAAACUUGAGACGGGCAACUUCAAAUCUCAUUUUAACCUUUGUCUAAAAUGCAUAGAAAAGUAUCACAGCCAUUAGGGCCUGUUUACACUGACAGCAUUUUUUUUUAAAGCCUGGACUCAAGAGAUAUUCUGGCUUAAAAUUAAUUUAUGGUCAAACACACUAUAGACAUCCCCUUGAGAGAUGAAUGUUGCUUCUCUAGUUAUACCAACUUUAGUAACGACCGCAGGAUAGCAAUACACAUCUGUCUGAGGAGCCAUAAACAAACCUCAACCAAAACGCCACUCUAUAGCCACAAAUAAUGCUCAGAACAGCACCUAACUUCAUCAACAGUAGAGAUAGGGUCCCAGCAAUAGUACUAGCCACCAAACAUCUUUUUAACUUUGACGAAUUUCUUUAGCAAAGAGACUAAACACAACUCACCUACUCUCUUCCAGCAGCCGCUUGUUUGUAACGAGACCUCAGGCCAGUCCAUUAUGGACUACAGCGGGGUGAUGCAGCUCAAGGAAGAACAUUUAUGAUCAUUUCUUUAUCAUUUCGUUGAAGUAAUAAUCACCAUAUAAAUCAUUUUCCACUGUAGACGCAGUAGUUCUUCUGUCUUAGCGUCUCAGUCUGAUUGUAUUUCUAUAAAGAAAUGAUCAUAAAUGUUCUUCCUUGAGCUGCGGAACCCCACUGUAGUCUGUAAUGGACUGACCUGAGGUCUAGCUACAAAUAAAUGGCUGCUGGAAGAGAGUAGGUGAGUUGUGUUUAGUCUCUUUGCUAAAGAAAUCAGGCAAAGUUAAAAAGAUGUUUGGUGUCUAGUACUAUGUCUGUGACCCUAUAUGUCCUGUUGAUGAAGUUAGGUGCUGUUCUGAGCAUUAUUUGUGGCUAUAGAGUGGCGUUUUGGUUGAGGUUUGUUUAUGGCUCCUCAGACCGCUGUGUAUUGCUAUCCUGUGGUCGUUGGUAUAACUAGAGACGCAAAAUUAAUUUUACACCGUAAUAGCCCUUUAACCACAAAGAGUCAAAGUUGUCUGUUAAACAUGCUUUAACUUAAAUUAAAACAGUUUGGUCAUUUUAAUUUGAACAGUUUCAAUCCCCAAGUGUAUAUUUACACUAUUAUCCUAUUUCCAUUACUUAUGCUAGGCUAAUUGAAUCAUCUCCUACCUUUAGCUCUAUAUUUAGCAUGAAAAGGGUUUCUUGUCAUCUCGUGUUUCUCUGGUGCAGCUCCUUAAAUGUUCAGUCAAACCCAUUAAAGCUAGCUUAAACGACGGUUUAAACAAGACAUCUCUAUUUUUGCUAACACAGUCACAGCUACAGAUAUUUGGGAUCAAACAUGAUGCAAAUUUCUGCCCACCGUGCAGCGAGAACAAACAGCCUCACUGUGUUUUUCCUGCACUGGAGGAUUUUACUGCUUAGCCUCCAGCUAACACACACACCUGCAUUAACGCCCACAGACCCAAAACACACUCUCCUGUGGAUGCCAGGAGAUGUUUAAAAGCCAGAAUUGGCUGAUUUAGCGGAAAGUUUUGAGAUUUAUGAAAGCGUUUAAAUCGGAGCGCGGGGUGCUGGAGGCGUGUGCGUUGAAUUAUAAUGAUGUCAUCGAUCUCUGGCUCGUUUUCUCUCCGCUACGUGUGCCGGUUGGUUGUUUAUUGCCUCUGUAUAAAACUAUGUUUUUAUUUUGUAUAUCCUCAGUGUGGUUUGUGUACAUCUGUGGGUAAGAAACGCUAAAGCCUCCUAGAACUAGGGCUGGGCGAUAUGAGAAAAAUUUAAUCAUGAUAUAUUUUUUCAUAUCAGUCAAUAUCGAUAUAUAUCACGAUAUAAAAAAUGACAUUUAACAGUGCUUAAUGGUCACAUGUCUUUUGCAAUACAAUAAUCUACUGUAUCUGUGAGGUCUUUGUGUCUUUUACCACGUUUUGUCGUAAGGCAUUGAGCUACAAAAAGCCGACUGAAUGGUUGGAUGUUUCGGCUGUCAGGGUUUGUAACCUUUUGUAUUGCGCAUGCUCUGCAGCGUGGUGCUGCUUCAGGCGUUGAAAAAGAUUUGAGUUAUUCCCCAACUUUGUGAGAACAUGUACUUGACAUAAUUUGCAGUGCACAUUGGCCCCAAUGGGCCAAAAUCCAGACUGUUGUGGGAUGGAACGGCAAGUGAUUCACGCAACAGGAUGGCCCAGCCAGGCUACUUUUACAUAUCGAUAUUGAGGGAAAUUAAUCGUUUUAUCACCCAGCCUACCUAGAAUCGAGGACCACCUUGCAUCCUCACGAAAACUAAAAAUCUUGAUGUUAUGUGAGCAUUUCUCUCCUCUUUAAUUCUCCGUAUUUUGAAACAGCAGCACCAAACUCAAGGACGAAAACACUCCAAACCUGUGAUUUGUCAAACUUUUCAGGAAUCCCUGGAAUCCUGAACCACAUGUUGUUUUGUCUGCUCAAAACAACAUCUUAUCUCAUGAAUGUUUAUAUUAUUGAAUAGCUUUUUCAAACACUACAGGCUUUCACCGAGGAGAUUCAAGACCUUUCGUGGCCUGAAGUGAAGCAGCAUUGUGCAAAAAAACAAAAUGACUGUGAUGUCUCUUAGCUUCCUCGCAUCUGCGUUUCUUGAGGCUGGUUGGUUUGUGACUCAAGAGGAAGAGGUCUUGCAUUUUGGCUGUUCGCCCUCCUCAAAUCUCCCUGAUCUCUGGGCUCAACCUUUGACCCUUCUUGUACGUGGCAGAUACCAAAUCCAAUUUCCUAACAGGGAUCAUCUGCCAGAGAGAUUUGUUAUCAUCCCAGAGGUUUACAGAAUUGAUUUGGAGUCCAUUUCUUUCCUCUUAGUGGCCAAACCCACUCCUAAUCUCGACAGUGAUUCAUCAGAUGUUCACGCUAAAGCAGCCAAAGGUCAGGAAUACGACCCAAACCCGCGAAAUUGCAAAUAAAUUCAUAUUCCCUUCCUUUAGUCCGGAGCUGGUUUUUGGAGGAAUGAGCUCUGAUUGCAGCCAAAAUCUGCUCAGAUUCCUGAAUGUCCCAGCAUGCCUCUGUGAAAGCUUUUUGUGCAUCUAGAGCAGAAAAAGGGAAGUCUGGCCGCUCUUUACUUCCUCUUAAACUGUAUCAGUAAUUACUGUGCUCGCUGCCUGUGGUUGCAGAGUUUCAGAGCUGGUAUGCUUGACAUUUUCAAGUGCAAAAAGGAGAGUUUGACCCGUGUUGUGUUGAAAUGUCAGGGCAUCAUCGCUGUAGGAUCUUAUUUUAAAUCAUUUUGUAAAGCUGAUGGGAAGGAGGAAGUUUAAUAUGACUCAUGGUAUCUUAGAGUUAUUGCUGAAAUAGCCGCUGAUGCGACAAAAAACUAUCAGAUAAUGUGAACAACUCAGCAGGUUGGGGUUAAAAGAGGUUAAAAUUGUCAUUUUAGUGCAUUUAGUUAGAAAAUGACAUGUGAAAAUGGUUGAAAUGGACCUUUAAAACUAAGAAUAGCUGACCUAUUACAACCCUAACUUCACUUUUUAAAUAGUAUACAUGAAAUACAAUCCUUUUUGUCUUACAGUUAAAACCUAUAUUUGCCUAUAUAUAACCUAUAUUAUCUACAUUUUUAAUGAUAUUAUGAGACCGUAGAAGCCAAAUCUUUCAAAUUUGGUGUAACUACGGUGAAAUUGUUGAAUCAUUUGCUCACACGGUGAGUUCUACUACAGAGCCAUGUCUAUUUUAACACAGAGCUUCCAAGGGUCUUGGCCUCUCUGGAUUCCCUUUUUAUGCCGAGUCAUGUUACUAGACUGUUGCAAUUUGGGAGAUUUUGUCCAAUAGUUUCUGUCUUUUUUUAGCGUUGCAUAACUACAGUGUUGUUUUUAAACAAGUAACUGGUGUCAUGCUUUAAACAAGAAUACAUCCCUGUAAAAAACAUCCAAUUUUCCAGCUUUAGUGCUAUUUCUAAUUAAACACAAGGUUUAAAUGAUUUGCAAAGGAACAAAAUCUGCUUUUUAAAAACAUUUUGCACACUAUUAAUCACAUUUAGAACCGUGUUAAUACAUUAAACUGACAAGCAGAAAGAAAAAAACCUUCAAAUUUAUGUAUAAUUGUAAUUUAUGUGCAUUUAGUUGGAAAAUAACAUGUGAAAAUGGUUUCAUUCAAGUGCAUUUAUUUGGAAAAUGACGUGAAAUGGUGAAGUAAAGAUUAAACCUACAUUUGUAGAAAUAGAGUUAAACUUUGCUCAGAUUUUGGUUUGGGGAUGUAAUUUUGAUCCAAUGUGGUGAGUUCCACUAGUGUCUUUUUCUCAGUGUUUAGAACCGUGUUCAUGCAUUUCACCAUUCAAACAAACAAACAGAGUGGUAUAUAGGCUAUCUCCAUGGUAACAGACAUGCAAUCUUGCCAUGGAUACGUGACUAUAACGGUGUAUCUUACCUAAUUUGCUGCGAUCCUUAACCCAGGAUAACAAAAUAAUAAAAUCUCUGCACUAUCUCUGCUAAUUCCACACCCUGCUGAUUAAACUGGUCUGAAAGGGUUUUGGACUCGCUGUUCCCGCAAUGGUGCAAAUUUUAGGUCAGCUAUUUAUCGAUUUUAUCAAAGUGAUGACUAAGCUGAUACAGACAACAACCGGCCAUUACUGGUGCACUAACAGCGGAUAAAAAACUAUCCAGACAGUGACUCAGUGAUAAUGUGAGAGCUAUUCGGGUCAGCGCCGCUUCAAUAAAGAUAACAAGACCUGAUUAACUUGAAGUCAGGGACUGUCAUCACGUCCAGCAACAGAAAAUUGUUGUGGUUUAUGUUUUGAAGAGGAAUCGGAGCUGUUUCAGUUUCUAAAUUUGGAGCAGUUCUGCGUAGAGAAGAAGAAGUCGAUGUUCAAGGCCUCAAAACAACAACAACAACCGCUGGACUGAUUCGCCUCCCGCUGCUGCACGAGGAAGCCAAGGAGCUGAUUGCUCUUCCUGUUUUUUCGGGUGCGAGUUUAACUCUUUUCUGCCAAGUUUCCCUCGCCUCAGUAUCAAAGGUGAAACCGCGUUGUUAUGAGGUCAGAUUAAUGAAUUAUAGAGGGUUUUACAGUGGUGGAGAAACAACCGCGGAGGUUACGGGAGGUGAAAGAAGAAGAAGAAGAAGGAGAACCAGUUGAAAAGGGGAAAGUGCUAAUGAGGAUGCUAACUCAUGUGGGUGAUUUCAGCUGCUCUGACUGUAAAUCAGAAAGUAGGACUUCCCGCAAAACGCCGAUCGAGCCGUUUCUGGGUGAAUAGAAUCCCAGAUGCCGGAGCGCCCCUCCGUCUUUGCAAAAGGAAAACAGCCGGUCCCUGUGUCUUUUUGUCCGUUGAGGCCCCUCCUUACAUAAAGGCUUUAGUCAGACGUGUGCCUACAUUCUCUCGCCCCCAACCUCCAAUCACCCAACCCAACUCCGACUGGACCCCUGCCCAGAUGAGCACCGACACGCCCGCUUUGUCUGCAGAUCUGGCACAUGACCUGCUCUGGCAACUGGCACGGUGGGCCGAGCUCCAGUCGCCACCCACGCCCUCAUUGCCCCCCCCCCCCUUGUGCCCCUGUUUUGCCCCUUCAAAAAAAGCCCCCAAGCCCCAGCGUAGGCAGGGCGCCAGGACGGGCAAGACAACAAUAAUGGCGUCUGUGGUUAUUUGUUGGGGGUUUGCAGUCAGCGCCUCGUGAGGCACGAUCUGGGAUGUUGGGAAACAACUCAGCAUGGUGGAAUUAAGAGCGGUUAUAAUAUUUUGACAGCGGGGACAUUUGAACCGUCGUCACGUCUUUGUUUUUGUUUGACUUGGAUGAAAACGCGGCUCACAGGAUGCCAAAAAGCCUGAUAAUGACACUUAACCCUUUGACCUCUGGACAAUACGCUUUGAUUAUGACCCUUUUAACCUUACAGGUGAACAUUUUCAACACAGAUGAAUUCAAAGUGUUGAAAAAGCAAACAAUGUCCAUAUUUGAUGUUAGAUUUUACAGAUUUAGGAUUGUUGUAAUCCUCGCUAAAACAGAAACUGAUCAGACGAUUAAACAGGUAUGAAGGCGUCUGUUCGAACAGGCUCAAACAGAGCGCCAAAUCCCUGGCAGCAGCACCUGAAAAAGCCUCAGGCGGUGAUUUUAAUCCAAUUGUGCAAAACUGAGUCACUUUCUGAUAGGAGGAAUUAAUUAUUACGGCGGUGAGUGUUUAAUAAAAAUUAAUAAACCACAUCUAAGAAAUUAAAGACGAUCCUUUUAUCUCAUGUUCGGGUUGGCACGAGGUUAACUGAGGUUUCGCUCGAUGGUCGUAGGCGGGAACAGCUGAGAGGGUGGGAGAGGAGGGAAUGUCAGCCAUCCGGCAUGAAUCUCAUGUUUGAGUUUAAGAUGGAAACUCUGGGGAUGAAGUCGAUCCAGAGGAGCUAAUUUAGGGUCAAUUUUGAGGAGUUUCAACUCAAAUAAGCGGAGGAGUUCAUCUGUGAGUAAAAUGGAAGUAACUCAACACCGUCUUUUGUUUUGAUUUGAUUAAGACGAGGUGGUUUUUCUCCUCUUAUGAACGUUUUCAGGCCCCCCCAGCGUCGGAGAGAAACCUCAGACCAAACAGCAGAGGAUUAACUCGAGUAAGAGAGAGAGAAGCUGCCACAAUCCCAGAGAACCCUCCUCCUUCUCCUCCUCUUUCUCUUCUUCAUCCUCCCUCCCUCUGCUGCUCAGAGGUCAGCGCAGGGUUACUUCCCAGAAACAGGCCCACCCUCCAUCGCUCUCUUUCCAUAACAAAUCUUCACGAACACAAGAGAGCUCUCUCAGCCCGGGGGCGCUCAAAAACGAAGCGCCUGAUAGCGUUGAAGGGUUUCACACGGCUGCAGACGGUUAUACGGUGAAUUAAGAGUGACGUGUGUCGUCUUUGCUGCUUGUAUUAUGUCUCACGGUGUGUGUGGUCCCCGUUUCCUCGCUGUGAUAUUUGCUUUUAUAACUUUCUCUGUGGAUUAAAAACCAGCUUUGAAGCAGGCAGCCUAAUUCAAUGCUAAUGUAGAAACUGGAUUUUUAAACAUGGGUGUUAAUGGAGUUAAUGAGCUUUUGGAGCUAGCCUCUAGUGGACACUUGAGGUACUGCAGCGUCUUUUCUUUUUCCUUCAAGGUUAGCAGCUUUCUAGUAAACAAAAACUUGUAGUCGGGAGCGUUUUUUUCGAGUGAUUAUUUUGGACGUCAAUAUUUUUUUUCGAACCCGUAUCCUGUCACUACAAGCGUUCACAUCAGCGACGUUUUCCUGUCCUGCGAUAUUCCCUUUUUUUUCAUUUCACGGUCGAAUUUUCUAAAGUUUCGCAUACUGUGUGUCCACUUCUGACCAAUCAGAUUUCGUGUUGUUGCGACGUCAGAUUCACCGGUAUAUCCAACAUGGCCGACCGGCUGAUUGUUUACGUGUCGGAGAACAGAGUGAUUUUUGAUAAAAAACACAAAUAUUACAAAGAUAACGACCUGAAGGACGACUUGUGGAGAGUCAUAGCGUCGGAUUUCUCACAUGACGAUGGUUUGUGUGCUUUAACAGUUUGAUAAACGUCUUUGUUUUGAUUUUCAUCUGUGCUAAGUAACUUUAGCUCGUAAGCUAACCUGUUCAGAUACAACAUACCACAUGUAUUUUCACUGUCUCAAACUCAACCACAGUGUUGCUGUCACAGCACCAUUAGGUGUCAGUUUUUACCUUAUGUUUAUGGAUUAUAGGCUACAUUCACACUGAAGGUUUUGAUGCACAAUUCGAAGUUUUUGUUAAAUCCGAUCUUUUUGUGCGGUCGUUCACACUACAACAAUGGAUGCGGCAUCUGAUGUGAACGGAAUGCGUACGUGAAGUGACCCUGAUGCGCACAAAGCAGGAUGUGACGCACUUCUCCGUUUCCACGUCCGCCAUUGCUUUCCGCGCCUGUUUGUGUUGUCGAACAAUGGUGACGUUUGUCGCAUAUUGAUGACGUAUAGGUCGGAUGAAUGCGACCUGAGCGUCCACACUGCAGUCACAUCAGAUACAAACAUCGGAGUAUCAAUUCGCCAUCACUUGAAGUUGAAGUAGACUCUAUUUUGUCUUCUUGCGUCCGCCCGGGACGCGUCUUUUUUUUCCCCCCGGAAAGUCGCAAAAUCGCCUCAGAGUAUUUUGUAAUUUCGCCUCGUAUAUUUGUGUUGUUCCCGUGUGUAGGGACCUUUACAGGGUGAAAAAAGUCUAAAUAAGACGCAGAAAGUGUCUCCAGGAGCGAGCUGAUCCAGGAUCUUCAUCUGCGCCACAUUGUGAUGUAAUACCGCCGCUGUGUUGACCGGUUUCUUCUAAUGUGUUGUGAUAGUCUCAUUGUUACGAACCCCCGUCGAGUGUUUUGGUGUCUGCUAAUCCCUCAAACCCGAGGAUCUACUGUGCUGCUCAAACAGGAUUUCUCCUGGAUUGUUUUUCACGGCUCCACCUGCACUUGAAACAACACGAUCCUCUGGCAUUGUUUUCGACACACGGCGUCCGGCGGGUUGAGUUGUGUUGCAUUUUGGCACUCUUUACUCCAAGUGUGACUGAUGCUACCCUUCAUGUUACAUCAAGCAGCUCAUAUUAGAGCACUUAAACCAAACAAAGUGUCUUUAUUAGCGCAGCUUAUCGUGGAAAAACCGAGUAAGUGAGUCCAGAGAGUGCACUGCCUUUGAAGCCGUGUGCCUCUUGCAUAAGAAACAACGAUAAACAGCUCGGUUAAGUGUGUUGACAUUGUCUUAACAACUGGAGACGAACACAAGAGCACUUUGAAACAGCCUGGAGGUAAAGUGGGCAAAGUGGAGAGGUAAAACAGCUGGUUUCUGAAGAUAUACGUCCAUCUGAACCUCACUUUUACAUUCCAGCGAGCUAACCGGGUGAUGAGAUUAGAUAGCGGUCGAGUCAGACCACAAGCCUCCUCACAAUGUGGCCACUAUCAGAAACAAUAGGCUAAUGUAAGGGUCUGGCAGCCUCUCGCAUUCCUUCAUCCCCUUGAAAACAGCCUGAAGAUGUUAAAAGCUGAUCAAUUUGCACGGCGCUGCUAAAUGGGUUGCACAUCUAUGUCACAUCAGGGCUCGGCGGGAGGAGCAGCGGGUUGCUAAGGGGCUGAAAUGCUUGAGUUUGAGCGCAGGGCCGAUAAAUAGGACGACUGGUGCUUCUAGCGAGAGUACGGGGAGCUUACUUUUUUCUCAUUACGCUCAAUAGAGGGGACAUGUUGAUGCAUGUCGCUGAGAGGGGGGAAGCUUAGGAGGCUUUUAUGGAUAAGAAGAUUUCAACUGGAGCUAAAUGUUUUCACAAAAUUCGACUCAUUGGCGGCUUAAAGCGAACGAAAGGGUCCAUCUUUUUUUAUGCGGCAUUGUGUUGAAUCGAGAGUGAGCUGGUGUUGUAAUUGGCGUUGACUUUCCCCACCUCCCCAAAGGCUGUCAAAGAAAACACACAAAUACAAACACACACACACAUACGCACUAAUCCGCCCCGACAAGAUGCUGAUCAGACAGAGUGAAGGGUUGCCAGAUCUCUCAGAUAGACGUGCAGGUCCUGUCAGGCUCAUGCAGCACAGAUCUGUGUGUGUUUGUGUUUGUGUGUUUGUGUGUGAGUCCUCAGGCUGAAGCUUAUAUAACACAUGACAGCAGAGAGACAGUCACUCACAUAGAUGGAGGUUUUUGCACCCCGGGGACACACAAUCCAACCUCUCUGCUUCCUGCUGCGGUUGACAAAACUUACCUACAUUUCAAACAUGUGUACGACACCGUCGCUCAUCCGAAUGAACGCCACGCUGACGGGCAGGUGGCUCAGCGAGGACACAGAGGACUGUAAAUAAAACCAAUGAAAUACCCGAUUUUUUUACACAUGUCCCCCAAUUUAAAAUAGUCAUCAUUUAAGUUUUAUUUUGCUGAGUCAUGGUCAUCUAAUGCAGCAGCCUCGGUCAGCAAAAAAUGACAAAAUUCACUUUUUUUUUUCAGCAAGAUCCUUAUUCACACGUGUGCUUGAAUACGUUUUUUUAAAGACCCACUUCAGUGGAAAUCAUGUUUUUUUUUUUGUCUGCAUGUUCAUGUGGUGUUUUUCUGAUGCUACAGGACAUAUCAAGGGAAAACUAACCCGGGAUUUCCACUGAAUCUGGAACGGCUCAGAUUCAGAACGAUUUUCGCCAUAGGUCAAUUCCUACCGGAUCUGUUUGUGAGAUGAAUUUCGUGGCAGAUUACUGACAGCGGUAAUCGUGAGAACUCAUGAGAACCCACGGAUUCACGUGCAAUCGUGCGAUAACAAGUUGUCUUUUGCCACAUAGACUAACCAUAUAAGCAGUAGAUUGUGUCCUUCCAGAGGAGGAAAUCUACUUCUAGACUUCCAGAAUCAGCAUCUCCUCAUCCAUGGUGUCAUCGGGAUUAAAUGUUGUCUAUAAACCUUUCACUUGUUCGUCCCCGCCUGUUUGCAUGAUGUGAAAUACGAUCCACCUUAUUAUGAUAUUAGCUUUCAUCGUGUCCCUAAAGACAUUAGUGUCCAAGAGCUGAAUAUCUCUUAUGUUACCUGCCACUUCAGCUACCCCGGAAAUGUUAGGCUACAAGCUAGCGUGUAGAGAAGUGUGCAGAGCAGCGCUGUCUCCGCCCACGACUCAGAGGCAAAUUGCUAAUGAUCUACUGGAGCUCUGCAGAAGAAAAUGACACGGGUAACGUGAUUUUGGCUAAAAACUUCAUAAUUGCAAUUUAAAGACCACUGAGAACACUUUAAGUAGUAAAAAAUAAACGAUCGGAGUGGGAAUUUUGAGGGUUUUAUUUUACUGAGUCAUGGUCAUCUAAUGCAGCAAAACUUCCUUAUUCACACAUGUGCUUAAAUGCGUUUUUUUAAGUUAAGUUUCUCUGACAGUUUUAUCUGACGCAGGAGAUGUAAAUUUAUAAAACGAUCUCAGAUACCUUUAAGUCUUAAAGUAAACGACAUAAAUCUUCCAAACUUUAUCAGCCUCUCCCUGUCCUCCCACUUUUUUUUAAAGAAAGUACACCCUGUCAGCCCUCUUCUCGUCCCCGCAGUCGAUCACAAAGUUUAUGGGCGUUUUAUUCCAGGAGUUACUGUAUUUAUUUCUCCUCUUCGCUGUUUUACAAUCUGUAAUUAACAACACAUUUAGGCGCUGAAAGCCUGCGAUUAGAUCCUCUUAUUGACUGUUGAAGCAGGCUGUAAACUCCACCCUGCGGCUCUGAUACGUCUGUUAUGUAACUUAUUUUAAUUCUCAGCACAAUGUAAAAGUAGCCACAUAUGUCCCAGGCGGUGGUACAGUAUGUCCUGCAUUGUGAUGGAGAUCUAACACCUUGCAAAUUCCUUUAUUGUGACAUGUACAGGACAUCUCAUUCAGGAGGUUCAGGCGCUGUUAAAUCUGACUGAAGGCUUCAAUUUGUAAAUAAAGCAGCUAUACAAGAGUGGGAGUGAACGCAGCCCAGAGGAGCAGAAAACUCGUGAUUAAGACUCGAGAGAAAAGGUCACAGGAAAGAGGAUCUCCCUGCAGACAAAGAGAGAGCAACCUGUUUUCAUGGGAACUGGAAUAAGCAGCGGGGAGGUUGUGUUGUGUUUGCAUCGCCAAAAGCUGUGUGUAAACUUCCCAUAAAUCUAAAAUGAUACCUGUGUGAGUCAAAACAGGAGGAAAAUGAAAGUAGGAACUGUUUAGGAGUGUUUCAGAGAUCAUGUUUUUGGAGUUUCAUAGUUUUUCAUUACUUCUAAAAAUCCACGAGUUUAAGUAGAAGUCGUUUUUUGGCUCCUGGAGAACCUAACGUGAAGAAAUAUGUGUUUAUAUGAGUUUCCCUCUGUUAUGAAAAUGUUGAUCCGGGAUUACAGCUCAUCUCAGUCAGGCCAUAUCAGCAGUCUUUUUAAUAAACACACAAAGAAAAGCGGCUGUGAUUUAACUUCCCCGCAUGAGCAGAUUGCGGACUUAAAUAAGUCUAUUCUCCAUUUAUCAACACAGAGUUGUCAUGGAAAUGUUCAGCGGGGCCAAAAGCGAACAGAUGGCCCGAGAAAUCGAUGGCUGAGGCUCAAACUAGCUGAUCCGCUGAUUUGCUUCAAACCCAAGGGGAGAGUGUUUGGACUCGUCCCCGCAUGUGUUCCUCGGCCCAGUGAGUGAGUGUAGUAUUUUCAGAGUAAGAUAGGGACAAACAUGCUCCAGCCUGCCUUUAAACGCCAGAGCAAGAGUUUGUUAUCUGGAGUCGUCUUCUGGUCUUGACAAGUCAGACAUACGCAGCAAUGUAAAGAAUGUGUGACCUGAAGAGCUCAGGUGAGGCUUGAAAAGCUGAUUUACACCAGCAGAUAAAUCUGUGUUUGAGACUCCAGCUCCAAAAAGACAAAAACACUUUUGAACCAGUACAUUUAAAAAAUAUUUAGACUUUUUUAUCUCUCUAAACCUAUUUAGAGACCAGAUAUGCUUCAGUCAGUAGCAUGGCCAUUGGAAAAUGUUGUGUUAUCUUGUGGGAAGGGAAGGUUAUCACCUCCCUGCUGCCGUCAACACUGUGAAUGUGCCCUCUGGAUGCCUUUCCAGUGCAGACACAUAAACAGAUACACUAUAGAUUACAUCUCAUCAAAUAAAAAUGUAAAUAUGUGGACCCCAGGAUUCCCAAGUGUAAAAAACAUCAAAGUUUCCAUGGUAUACUGUUCUAGCACCAAAAAUAUGCCCCUCUGGAUUCCCUUCCAUUAGAUAAAACAUUAUUAGGGUGCCCUCUGAAUGCCCUCCCAGUAUAAAGAACAUUAAAGUGCCCCUAAUAUACCUUAACGGUGUAGAAAACAUGUAAAAGUACUAUCUGGAUACCCUUCCAAUAAAAAUAGUUCUAAAAAUGUGCCCCCUGGAUUCCCUUCCAUUGGAAAAAACAUUAUCAGGGUGCCCUGUGAAUGCCCUCCCGGUAUACAGAACAUUAAAGUGCCCUCUGGAUACCCUUCUGGUGUAGAAAACAUGUAAAAGUACUAUCUGGAUACCCUUCCAAUUAAAAUAGUUUUUAAAAUGUGACCCCUUCCUAUGGAUAAAACAUGAAAGUUUGUCCUUUGGUUGCCAUGCCAAGCUAGGUAAUAUGCAAACCUGCCCUCUGGGUGCCUUUCCAGUCUCGUAAACAUGAAACAAGCCCACUUGUUCCUCUCCAAUAUAGAAGACGUGAAGAUAUUCCAUUUUUGAUGCUCUACCAAUAAAGAUAAUAUGAAAAAUUCCCUUCUGGAUGUCCUUCCAGGUCAUAAAAAGGGGAAAAUGCAGCCCUCUGAUUUCCCUUUUUUCUCGAUAAAACCUAAAAAUGUGCCCUUUGUUGCACUAGAAUGCAGUAGACUAAGUGUUAAGAGCUCCAGAUUUUCAGUAGGAGAACCCCCCGACCCCCUUUUUAUUGUUUUACCUCAACCUUACCCAAAAGAGCAACAAAACAGUCUUCAAAAUGCUGCUGGAGGCAGAUCUCCAUUUAUUCCAACUUUCUGUGCGCUGGUGCCCAAUAGCAAACUUGAGGUGCCCUUUUUAUUUUUGUGCCCCUGCCCUCAAAUUACAGUUACGCCCCUGUAAAGUUAUCUUUUUUUUUUAAAUGCUCUUCUUUUAUAUUAAUCUUUAGAAAUCAGGUCCCAGUCGUCAAUUACGGAUAAAUUUUUUUUUUCUCUGCCCACUCUCUCACCCUGAUGCGCUGUGGUGGUUUUAAUAUAGACUCUGUUGCACAAUAAUGACUGAUGUCCUUGUUUUGCUGUUUGUUUUCCUCUCACCGCGCAUUCCCUGCAUGAAUAUGAGUUUUAAUAUCAAUAGAGUGCAGAGAGAAAACAGUCAGACAGACAGAUUGGCAGUCUGCCUUUGAUGCAACUUUCCAAUAUUACCCAUAAUCCUCUGGGGUGUUUGUGUUUUUUUUGUGUGUGUGUGCGUGUGUGUGUGUGUGUGUGUGUGCAGAGCAGUCUAGUUGUCAUGCUUUGAAGCAGCCAAUCAGACCUCUUCUUAUGUAAUCCCUGCAUCCAUCUAGGCAGACAAACUGUGGAGGAGCAGUGAGUGUAUGUGGGCGCGCACACACAAACACACACAUUUUAACAAAAACACACACAUACACACACAUAUUGUAUUUAUACACUCCAGUCAUUUUAUCUUUUAACAAUCUGGAAACUGACCGUUCGCCAUUGUCCCUCAAGACACAUUUUUCUUCCCCCCCUUUUGUCCGUCAGCCUUUUCAGCGCCUUCACACACACUCUGUAACACACUCGGUCCACCCUGACAGGCCAUUAUUGUGAACAUUCCUCUUUUUCCGAGCCAGAGUCUCCUGUCGUGCAUUCCUGGGACGUUAGAUUGAGCCGCUGCUGCAGAUGGAAAUGACUGUAACAGCGAAUACUCCUCUUAUGUCAUGUGUAUAAACGAGUGACGUAUUUAAAUGUGGACGUUAUGAAUGAGACUGUGUUUCACUUGACAUAUAUGUGGAAAAUAACAACUAUAUUUAAUACAUACUGGAGGAUUAGGGCAGUAAAAAUGCUUUAUAUGAAGGUGGCGCCCAUUUUCCAGCAGCCAUCAUCUUCAGCACACAAUCAUUUUUUGUUUCCUUUAAAGCUCCUAUAAGGAAUUUUCUGUCUGUGUUGAUUUGGCCGCCCCCUAGUGGAUGAAUACCUAUUUAUAUGAGGUGGCUUAUUUCAUCUAGCCUUUAUUAGUGGGGUGUUAAUUGACAAAACAAUCAUAAAUGUUCUUCCUUGAGCUGCGGAACCCCGCUGUAGUCCACAAUGGACUGGCCUGAGGUCUCACUACAAACAAGCGGCUGCUGGAAGAGAGUAGGUGAGUUGUGUUUAGUCUCUUUGCUGAAGAAAUUAAGCAAAGUUAAAAAGAUGUUUGAUGGCUAGUACUAUGGCUGGGACCCUACAGUAUAUGUCCUGUUGAUGAAGUUAGGUGCUGUUCUGAGCAUUAUUUGUGGCUAUAGAGUGGCGUUUUGGUUGAGGUCCAUAGACAGCUGUGUAUUGCUAUCGUGCGGUUGUUAAUAAAGUUGGUAAAACUAGAGAAGCAAGCGGUCUGCAACAUUCAUUUCUCAAGGGGGUGUGUAACUCGGUGUUGCGGUGUGUUUGACCCUAAAUUAAUUUUACGCCGGAAUAUCCCUUUAAGGUAGUACAAUUGCUUAAUGUGAAGGUGGUGCCCAUUUUCCAGCAGCCAUCAUCUUCGGUACACAAUCAAUUUUCUAUUUCCUUUAAAGCCCCUAUAAGGAAUUUUCUGUCUGUGUUGAUUUGGCCGCCCCCUAGUGGAUGAAACGGUUAGCUUUAUUAUGUCUUUAUCAUUUCAUUUCGUCCUUAUUAGUGAGGUGUUAAUUGACAAAACAACCACCUCUUGUUGCAGAAUUUGUCUCUUACUAUAAAUAUGUAAGUAACAAAGGCUGUUCCUUCAGCUAGCCUUGCCCCCCUCCUCCCUCACAGCAGGUACAGGUGUUAAAAAACGAUCAUACAGAUAUCGUAAUCUUGCCGUUGUACAUUAUAGAGAUGUUCUACUUUUCGUUUCAGUCUGUUUCAUAACCGUCCAAAAACUCCCUACAGGAGCUUUAAAAGACGAUUAGCAUCAGUUUAUGUAAUUAAAGCUACAGUGGGGAGUUUUUAGCAAACUAAACACUCUUGGAAACGUUCCUAAUGGAUCUGCGUCAGGAAGUAGCUGUCCUAACAACAAUGUGCUGCAUUUUAUCCCGAGAUAGGAAACCCACUGUAACACACUCUUGGACUGAUAAUGCUCCCUAACAGUCCGUUAAUGCACUUUUUAUACUUUAUCAGCAGAGAAGCACUCGAGAUUUCUUCCCCACAAGUCUCACCAGUUGUCCUUUUUUCUGUUGCUCCCUGUACAGAAUUAACACAGCCGUGGCGGGGAAAGCCCGGCGUGCCAUUGUCUGAUAGGGGGGCACCGUUAGCCGCGCACAACAGCCGCCCAAUGAGAGGACCCCCCCUGCUGCGACAGCUGUCGUGCUGUUUCACUGAUCUGUAAGCAUUUCUGCUCAUUAGCAGGCUUUGUUGUUUGGUUUGUGUGCGUGUGUGUGUGUGUGCAGUCAUAGCUGGGUGAUGAAUCGACGGUGGCAGGUAAAGUAAGAGGGAGGAAAUGAAUAUGUAUGAGACCUCCCGGACAGUGAGCGCCGAGGAUAAGCUGUCUGUUUUCAACGCCACAUGACGGAGUGUCACUUCUUUCAGACUCCACCUGGGGUCAGAGGUCUGGACUCUUCUUUUUCAGAGUGCUGGUUCCAAAAAAUUUCGCCUUUUUCCUCCAUUUAAGCUCAAAUCUGUCGCUCUUACCUCUUUUUUUUAAAACUUCGUGCCAAAUGCCAGCAGGCUGCCUUAUUUGGACACAAAUGUUCCAGUUUUCUGUGCAGGAAUUUCCCAACGUACGCCCUUAUCUCUGGUAAUCGCAGAAGUGAUAACAGUGACUCUUUUCCAGGACAGGGAAGUAACAUUAAAUGUUGACGAACUAACAGGAAAAUUAGCGGGAAGGAGGAAACUUAAUGAGAUUUCUUUUGCAUUCUUUCGUUUAAUCUUUCGCACUUCCUAGGUGUGAAAUUUCAGACCGUCCCUGAACAUAAAACUUAAGAAAAUAUGUGUCAAAGCCCUACAUGUGUGUCCAGCUCUGCUCGUUUUUGUUUCUGCAGCAGGUAAAAUGGUCUAACAACAUGAGGUCAGUUCAGAGGAAUGUGGGCCGUCCCUUCCUCUGUUCCACUGAAACCAGUCAGAUAACCUUGCAAAUACGAGGACAAUAUGUAACCACAUCAAGAGGGUUUUUUUUUCCUCCUCCAUCACACGUCCCUGAACUGAAGAACGGCUGUUUUUGGUGCAGAGAGCAGUCAUUGUUGCAGGAAUGUGGGAGGAACGGUGUGGUUAUUAAGGCGAGGACAGCCUGAAAACUCACCCGGCAGCGUCUGAAUGUGCGUUUUUCUGCCCAAAAACAGGCAUUCGUGAAAAGCACAAGCAUAUAAAAGCUCCUCGUCUAUAAAUGCACCUUUUUGAGAAAACAAAUCAUGUCCUUUUCACUCGUUUACCUGCAUGUAUCUCUAAAGGAAAAGGAGAAUCUCCUCCUACAAAGGAGUGCAGUUUUCACAGUUAUGUGUCACCUUGUUUGCUGUCGUUGUGUAGGCGCAGCAACAAUCCAGACAGAGACAUGCUGCUGUGUUUUGCAGAGUAGCUGAAGGGACAAACACCAACUCCAAACACAGUGCUGCUACUGUAUAACUGAGGCGAGUGUAAUAUUAAACUGCGUGUAGCUCAAAGGGCAGAAAGAGACCGUUUUGACCUCGGAUGCAUUUUUCUUCACCACUUUGAUAGAUGGUGUAAAGUCAGAUAAGGUUACCUUUAAAAGUCAGGUUACGCUCGAGUGUUUAAGAGGCUAAAGACCUGCUUUUUGUCUGACAUGGACUGUGGUUUCGUCUAAAAAAAAGUGGCGAAUGCAGUUGAUCCACAUCCGAGUGAAGGUGAGAGGGUUGAGCCCUUAUCUGACCUUGAAUUUCCGUUGAAGCAUGUUGACACCAUCUGCUUCUUUUUCAUGUCCAGAUUAAGACGGGGAUGUUACCCAUGUGUUCAGUCUUAGCGUCAGCGUAAGCCGUACAAACACGGUUAUUCCACCACUUUGCUGGAACAGCAUGUCAAAUAAACGGUUUAUUAGAAUUUGAAUCUAUGUAAACAGCAAAACAAUUCCUCACAAAUUUACAGUGAAAACCCAACAGGUCGUCAUGGUUAGAGGGAUAUUCCGGCGUAAAAUUAAUAUAGGGUCAAACACACUGUAACCCUGAGUUAGACACCCCGUCAAGAGAUGAAUGUUGCCGACCGCUUGCUCCUCUAGUUAUAUCAACUUUAGUAACCACCGUACGAUAGCAAUACAGAGAGCCAUGUGCUCAACCAAAACGCCACUCUAUACCCACAAAUAAUGCUCAGAACAGCACUGACCUUGGUCCAGUCCAUUACGGACUACAGCGGGGUGACGCAGCUCAAGGAAGAACAUUUAUGAUCAUUUCUUUGUCAUUUCCUUGAAGUAAUAAUCAUCAUAUUAAUCAUUUUUACUGCAGACGCGGUAGUUCUUCUGCCUUAGCAUCUCGGUCUGAUUGUAUUUCCAUGAAGAAAUGAUCAUAAAUGUUCUUCCUUGAGCUGCGUCCCCCCACUGUAGUCGGUAAUGGACUGGCCCGAGGUCUCGCUACAAACAAGGGGCUGCUGGAAGAGAGUAGGUGAGUUGUGUUUAGUCUCUUUGCUAAAGAAAUGAGUCAAAGUUAAAAAGAUGUUUGGUGUCUAGUACUAUGGCUGUGACCCUAUAUGUCCUGUUGAUGAAGUUAGGUGCUGUUCUGAGCAUUAUUUGUGGCUAUAGAGUGGCGUUUUGGUUGAGAUUUGUUUAUGGCUCCUCAGACAGCUGUGUAUUGCUAUCGUGCGGUCGUUACUAAAGUUGGUAUAACUAGAGAAGCAAGCGGUCAGCAAUAUUGAACUCUCAACAGGGUGUCUAACUCUGUGUUACAGUGUGUUUGACCCUAAAUUAAUUUUACGCCGGAAUAUCCCUUUAAGGUUCAAUAAAAGAACUAUGGCGUCUCUCUUUUUUGCACUGGUGUCUAGAUCCAUGGACCUGCACUUAUUGUAAUUUUUUACUGACACCUUCUUUUUUACGCUAAAGAACCCAAAUUCUGCUGCUGAGGGUUUAUUUUCCGUACAUUCUUCAGAACAGGACCAAGAAUAACUCGCCUUCGCAGUCUUGUUGUGGUCUCAUGAUUAAUGCAUCGCAACUCUCUGUGGUUUUGCACCAGAUAAUGAAACUGACUAAGAAAUGUAACCCACAAAACAUGAAUUUUUCUGCUCAUAAAAAGGUGAAAAACUGAAGAAAUCCGAUUUUUUUUCUCUUUUUGAUUGGGUUACAUUUAAAAAAGUGGAAUAGCCCUUUAAUUUUUGAAAGUAGAUAACAAUGAGGAAGACGCAGACGAAGGCGCUCGCACAGGGAACCGAGAGCGACCUUUCUCCGACCCAAACUGACUCCACUUCUGCAUUCACUCUCACCCAGGAGGAAGUGGGACCACUGACUUCCUGUUGCAUUCUGCGGGAGUGGGCGGGGUUUCUGUACCUAAAGCCCUUACCCAUGAUUCUUUGCACAGCAGAAAGACAGGAAGCGUGACCCGGGAUUGAUAACAGCGGGGGCGGCUAUUUCUGAAGGGGGGAGCAGACAAGGAGGUGUCUGUUCGGCUUCCUGUUGGUUGUUUUGUCAGAUGUGAGCGGCUGAAUGUGUCUUUAUGUGUCAAAAUGAACCGUUUGUGCUCUGCGGUCGCCAUUACGGCUCAAAGAAACACACUUUGUUGAGUGUUUUGACUGUUUUUAUCACUCAGGUGUGCUUUCUUCUGAAAUGAAGUAAAAAAUGCGUCUUUGUUUACAUGGAAGAAAGACUCAAAGGCCCCAGAAUGGCCGACCUGAUCGCCUCCAGAAACUGUUAUUAAGCUUUCGUAGGAGGUGAGGUUUUAAAGUCUGCUGCUGCUGCUGACUCCACAUCAGUCUUUGUUUGAUAAAAACCCGAUGUGGAAUUUUGUCCGCCUCCUUUUCUUGCCUUUUUUUUUUCUCUUUUUCUUUCCCGAGACGCCAAAUAAGGCCGUUUGGCCACAUCUGCUGAAACCCGAGGUCUGCAUUCAGCGUUUCGGCAUCCUGCUCUGGAUGAAAGAAUGAGAGAGAGAGAGAGAGAGAGAGAGAGAGAGAGAGAGAGAGAGAGAGAGAGAGAGAAAAGAUGAGUGUGUUUACCCUGCUGACUCGAUCCCCCUCUCGUACUAUGACACGUAUGACAUCAUUUGCUUCCCCCCUCCUCCCCCUGUUCUCUCUCUUUCUCUCUCAUUCUCUCUCUCUCUCUUCUAUCUUUCCCCUUUUUUUCCUGCUGUUUUUCCCUUCACAUGUUCGCCGUUAUGUAACCGAGUCGAGGCAGCCAGGCCGAGUUUGUGAACCUUUGCACCGCAUGGUGAAAACAUUUCCCUUUUUUUUUUUCAUUUUCUCUACAGCUGCUCUCUUUCACUGUCUGUGUCGAUGUAAACACCAUCAACAGAUUUAUGAAUGCUCAACAUUUAAAAUCAAAAUCACCUCCAAAACAAGCUUUCAGGUCUUAAACCCAGACUGCACACCCUUCUACCUAUGUCCUUUUUUACGUUACUUCCUCUAAAUUGUGAACCAGCACACUGUGUGUCCCUUUUUUCCUGUCAAGUUCCUCUUUUUGAAUGAGAGAAGUGCGACAUGCCGACUGAAAGCGAGGAAGUGAGACGCAGCGUUGUGGUUUACCUCAGAUCACCGACUAACAAAGGACCUCAGUUCAAAGCCUGGAGGAAUGAAAAGAGCAUGACCUGUUCUUGGUCUUCAGAUGUCCCCUCUGAGAGGACGGGUUUGGCGUGCACAUGUGCGUUUCAUCACGGCAAACUCGUCCUGAGGGCAGCCGUCAGCGUCAGACUAAGAGGGGGCUGAGAUUUCAAAAGGCCCACACCUCUGCGUUCACGUCCCACAUCACAGACUCCACAUGUUUGUCAGCUCAGAGGUUAACCAUGCGCAGAGGUAACACAACUGGAGGAGGGCAGCAGCCUCCGAAUGUGUGUGAUGUCCAGAUAUAAACAAGCGCUGAUUUAAGGGUGUGUGUUCCAGCUGAGCGUGUUUGAAGAGGUUCGCUGGACUCCUUUAUCUGUCUGCUCUGUAUAUCUGGAGAAGAUGAGGCACUUUUUUCCAGGACUGUUUGUUUUGCAGUCGUAUAGAGACGAAACUUCAGAAGCUGAAACGAAGAUUUGAUUAGAGGGUUUCUCACUGAGUUAUUAAAAGUGAUUUUAAAGCUCCUGUGUGGGAUUUCGGCUAAUCAUGAAAAAGACUAAAUGCCUCUUUUAUACCUUUAAAAAAGUGAGUGAGACCCUCAAGAGGGAAAUUAUCCAUUUCUGUGUAGCUGUUUUUAAAGCUCCUGUAGCGACCAUUUCUGUUUAGCUAUGUGGCGCCCCCUGUGGACAAAGCUUUAGAAGGGUCCUCCAAAAAAAAUCUAAUCAUGCUAACUUUUAAUGUCAAAGUAAUCAUCUAUUGUGACUUUUCCUCCGUGCGCUUCAACUGUCGCGUGUGAUUAAGGUUCUUGCAAUCUGGAUCUGGGGGGUGUGGUGGUUUGUGUUUGGUGUAGUAAGUUUUAUUUAUUUAAUUAUUUAUUUAUUUAUGUAUGUAUUAUGUAUCUAUAUACAUUUAUAGGUAUGGGUAUAUGUUAAUAUACAUUUUAUUAUAAAUAUUUAUAAAUAAUAAAAUAUACAUGUUAAUAUAUAUUUUAUUAUUUAUAAAUAUUUAUAAAAAUCUAUAUACAUUUAAAUUUUAUUUUUUUAUAAAUAUUUAUAAAAAUCUCUCUUUCUAUAUGUAAAAUAUGUAUUUAAAAAAUAUAUAUAAAAAUGUAUAUUUAUUUAUAAAAACCAAGGUGCUGCAUUCACAUGGAACUUUUAGUGCAACAGGGCUAAUUUCAGCCUACUUAAUUUUUCUUUUGUUUACAUUUUUAUUACAUCUUUAUUGUAUUGUAUCUUAGCUAUUGUAAUAUUAUAUAGUAUUACCACAGAUUGUCAAAGGUGUGGGGUAUGACAAAUGAAGUUCCUUGAAUCCUUAUUCAUUGCUGUAACACUGACUUGUAUCUUUCUACUUUUCUCAGUUAAAUUAAAUACAAAGUUGAUCACAAACUAAUCAUUUAUUGUGAAUUUUCAAAGACUAAAAUGCAACACUUGGCUGUUUGUUGUGCUGCUCUGCUGACACCUACCCCCUUGCACUAAUUUUAAUUGUCAGUCUCGCGUUUUUGUGUUUUAAAAAUCCAUCAUUUUGAGUUUUAGUGCAUUUCCUUUACUUAUAAAAACUCCUCACAGGAGCUUUAAUGUCUGAAACAGUGACGGGGGUAGGUGUCAGAGUGACACAGGAGCUUUAAUCUACUUGACGCUUUUUCAAAAUUCAAAUUAAAAUGAUUCACAGAAGAUGUCGUUGCAGUCGAGACUCAAAACGGAAAUUUUUAAAAACAUUAAAAGGUUGAAAUUCAGAUGAAAUAUGGAACAUGUGUAGGAUUGUGUUAAGAAAAACAAAGACCUGACAAAGUGUUUGCCUUUUCAAUCAGAGCGGAUAGCUGUAGGUGUUGUUGUCUGCUCACAGCUCUGCUCAUCUCACGGUUCAAUUGUGUGUUUUUGUGUUAUUGAUUACUUAAAGGGUGGAAGAGAGGGAGGGGGUGACUCUCGUCGCCAGUUGGCUGUUAAUAUCUUCGCCACAUGACCGAGCAGGAAUUUGUGGGAGCGUGUUAGGGAACACAUGCGUACUGUAAGCGUGUGCGUGCAUUUCCCUCACAGUCUGCAAACACAGCGCAUCCCACUCUUUCUCGCACAUUUUCUUUUACCUUUAGCUCCUCUCCUCGUUCGACGUUUCAGAUCUUGGAGAGGAGGAAUGAGGAAAGAGGAGAAAAACAGUAAGAGGAGUAGUGGAAGUGGAGGAGAGGAUAGUGAGGGAGGAAAAGAAGAUAGAAAGAAAGGAUGAAAGGUGUAAGGGGUUAAGACGUGUCGUGUUCACACACACACCGCAGGCCCAUGAAUCUUAACUGUGGGAUAUGAGGAAUUCAGACUCAAUCACCCAACGGAAAUUACAAGAGGAGCAGAGGGGGAGAAAAGGGGGAGAUCACAGGCUAAAAAUGUAAAAAGGACAGUACACACUGCUUCUGACCCCUCAGCUCUAAAGCAAUGAAUCAUUAUCCAUGUCGGGGGGUUUAUUUACACAAAAUGACCCCAAAGUUGAAGCAGAAAAUUCACGUUUCUUUACUGCUUCUUAUCUUUCUAAUCGAGACAAGAUAUGAGUCUCCACAAAGCGGGUUCAUAGAAGUUUCAAGUUUUCUGUUACUGUCCUUUCUUACACUCGGGGAACCGCCCCGUCAGACAAAAGCACAUUCAGUUCUUAUCUUCAUGUACCUGAUCACACCUGUCUGAACCUCGCCAUAUAGGUAGAUCUUUAACUCUGUGUUUGCAGGUUACAGCUUUUUAUGAGAUAGGAGGGGAGAGAAAUCUGUACUUCACUCUAGAUAAGUAAAGUUAUGAUGAUGAAAGAGGCGGAUGACGAUAUAUACUGCUCUUAAACUUUAAUGAUAAUACGAUCCAUCAGUUUACUGACCGUUGACUUUAUAUUAUGAUCUUAUUGCACAAGUGGCGUAUUUGAGACUGAAACUCUCUCUCAUGUUGGCAGACGCUCAUCGUGAUGGAAAGUUCAGGGACUUUUGAGUUGUAGAUGAGCUCUUACUGAUUUGGUUUUACUUUCAGGGGGCGGUUGUGCGGUCCAUAUUCUUGUCAAUAUGAGUUUACCAGCUAUUAGUUUAAGCGAGAAGAUGCACAAAAUUAUGUAAACACAAAAAAAUUCAGAUUAAGUGGAGUUUAAAUGUUGGGAUUUUUUUAAGGACGUUGAAAAAAGAAAAGAAUAAACUCGCUCAAAUUGAAAUAAGGUCAUAAAUCUAUAAGAGAAGUCAUAAUUUUAGUCAAAGGUACUGUUUUUAUUGACCGCCCAAUCUGUUAGGACACCUUAGCACAUUGUUGCAACAUUAUUCUUGGAGGAUUACAACCCUAAUCUAAUGAGUUGGUUUACGUAAAUUUGCUAAAGUUCAUCCUCAUGAAUUCAUGGCUGUUUAUAAGUAAAUGUAUACGCUAAAACUGUUGCAGACAAUAAUCUAUGUUUACUUAAAUGAAAGUUAAAUUUUUCACAACUUAAAAUUUCGGAAAAAGUUACGUAAACAUAUGUGAAGUUACGAAGAAAGAAAAUAAAGGAUGACUUCGCAAACAAAAGCAGCAAUAGGUGAUUUUUGAUAUGAAGAAAAAGUAAAUCCAAAAACUUUUAUGUAUUUUUCACUGAUUUAAAUGUUAAAAAAAUAAAUAUUUGAUGUUCCAGAAGUUCAUACUCUCACAUUGAGUUGUGUUAGCAUGAAACCACAUGUAUGUUUGAUAUAUUCAGGUCACUGAGAGUUAAUCUGUGUGCUUUACUUCUCUUUUGUAGUUCAGACUUCACAAACACAGCUGCUGGCACCAAAAGCUGAACAGAGUCACUCUCAGAUCCUCACCUCUGCGCUCGUUUCUCUCUGUUUCUGCAGAUGCUGGACGACUCUGAACGACAUGGGAGGACGUGGUUAUCUCUGACCCCUUGGGCCUGUUCGGUUGCGGGUUUUCCCAGAAGGCCGAGCUUCUGUCCAGUCCAUGUUGUAGUGUGUAUGUGUACGAGUUCAUGGGAAAAAAAGUGAAGGGGGAAUUCGUGGAUAACUCUGUAUGUCUUGUAAUUUAUUGUAGUUUAUUUUCUGUUUCGGGGCUCCACCUUCGGUGAACUCUGUGGUUUAAUUAAAGCAUUUCAAAGCUUGUGGUGGUUGGAUGCAACUUCCCCUUAAACGAUUACAAAAAGAAAUGUUGCAUCACAUCAAGAGUGGCGGUUUUAUCUUUAAAUUCUUGCCACAAUCUUCGCCCACGAUUGUUUAUCUGUUUGACUGAUUUCUCUGCUGUACUGUAGCACAACCAUCAGCCACACUUCCUCUUUGUUUCCGCCGUUUACAAGACUUUUAUUAUCAAAGAACAAUGUUUUGAACAGCCAGAAUAGACACUAAAGCAGCUUGUUUCUGCGGCUGCAUAUCUGAGGAGUCAUUUCCUGCCCUGCGGUGUCGCAAGACUGUUAAUAAAUACGAGCUAAACACUGUGA